AGUGAACGCUGGCGGUAGGCCUAACACAUGCAAGUCGAACGGCAGCACAGUAAGAGCUUGCUCUUACGGGUGGCGAGUGGCGGACGGGUGAGGAGUACAUCGGAAUCUACUUUUUCGUGGGGGAUAACGUGGGGAAACUUACGCUAAUACCGCAUACGACCUACCGGUGAAAGCAAGAGAUCUUCGGACCUUGCGCGAUUGAUUGAGCCGAUGUCGGAUUAGCUAGUUGGCGGGGUAAAGGCACACCAAGGCGACGAUCCGUAGCUGGUCUGAGAGGAUGAUCAGCCACACUGGAACUGAGACACGGUCCAGACUCCUACGGGAGGCAGCAGUGGGGAAUAUUGGACAAUGGGCGCAAGCCUGAUCCAGCCAUACCGCGUGGGUGAAGAAGGCCUUCGGGUUGUAAAGCCCUUUUGUUGGGAAAGAAAAGCAGCAGGUUAAUACCCCGCUGUUCUGACGGUACCCAAAGAAUAAGCACCGGCUAACUUCGUG
Molecule: ribosomal RNA, 492 nt
Filed under: uncultured bacterium
Lineage: Bacteria
Description: partial 16S ribosomal RNA
Rfam family: Bacterial small subunit ribosomal RNA
Source: RNAcentral